CGCGGGCGCCUGCCAGCGCGCACGCCGCCUGCGCGCCGCCGGCGCAGCAUAAACCCGCGCAGCACACUAGCGCGUAGUUGCGCACUGACUCCCACAUCUGGAAAUGACAACAGAACAUCGGCACACAUUUCAUUCAUCACAGGCUUGUCGGGCAUAGAGAGUGCGACAUCGACUCCGUUGGUGCCCGUCGAGAGGCAUGACGUUUCAAGAGCCGUCUCAUUUGCUGUCCCUGUUCCAAAACAAACAAAGGAGGAGGCGAAGAGAACUGCCGCGACAGCGCCGGGCGCUGCCGAAUCGUGGCCCGCCGCCAGCUGCCGCCGGCACACGUGGGGACCUCAGCCAGAAGGUGCGCCCCGGCCGCUUCGCUGAUACCCACCUGAAUCAAACAGAAAUCUAAAGCGGACAGCCAACCUAGAGGAGCGAGGAGGGCAGCAGUAAGUGGCACCACGAGACCCGGCCUCAGCCCAGCGGCCGCUGCACCGAGGACCAUUGCGACACCCAGCACCAAACUCGCUGCGCCUCGCACGUUCUGACCUCGCCAUCGUUUAUGGGUCCUGUGGACUGCGAAAGAAUCCUGCCUAAGAAAUUGGUACUGAUAGCUAUGAAUGAAGGGUGUUAAGUACUCGACAUACGCACGGGAGGAAACGCGCGGGCGGCGAGCAGCGCGCGGCACACACACUCACCUUUACCUACCUCACCGGCAACGGACGAAUACCGAAUUAAUGUCAUAACUGUUUGGCCGGGAUUUAAAGUUGUAAUUAAGGCGGAA
This is a long non-coding RNA of Leguminivora glycinivorella, 769 nucleotides long. RefSeq lists it as uncharacterized. Lineage: Eukaryota; Metazoa; Arthropoda; Insecta; Lepidoptera; Tortricidae. The record is from RefSeq and is a predicted model, not a curated record. The transcript is spliced from 5 exons.